RNAcentral lists this ribosomal RNA (918 nucleotides) under archaeon enrichment culture clone AOM-SR-A17. RNAcentral's name for it is "bacterial SSU rRNA". It matches the Rfam family "Archaeal small subunit ribosomal RNA", at positions 1 to 922 of the family's 1478-position model. The record is from RNAcentral.
UUCCGGUUGAUCCUGCCGGAGGCUACUGCUAUCGGGGUUCGAUUAAGCCAUGCAAGUUAAAUGUUCUUCGUGAACAUAGCGAACUGCUCAGUAACACGUGGAUAACCUACCCUUGGGACCGGAAUAACCCCGGGAAACUGGGGAUAAUACCGGAUAAAUCAUAGAUGCUGGAAUGCCCUAUGGUUCAAAGCUCCGGCGCCUAAGGAUGGAUCUGCGGUCUAUCAGGUUGUAGUGGGUGUAACGUACCUACUAGCCAACGACGGAUACGGGUUGUGAGAGCAAGAGCCCGGAGAUGGAUUCUGAGACACGAAUCCAGGCCCUACGGGGUGCAGCAGGCGCGAACACUUUACAAUGCGGGAAACCGCGAUAAGGGAACCCCGAGUGCCAGCAUCAAAUGUUGGCUGUCCGGAUGAUUAAAAAUCAUUUGUUAGCAAGGGCCGGGCAAGACCGGUGCCAGCCGCCGCGGUAACACCGGCGGCCCGAGUGGUAGCCGUUUUUAUUGGGUCUAAAGGGUCCGUAGCCGGCCUGAUAAGUCCUUUGGGAAAUCUGGCAGCUUAACUGUCAGGCUUCUAAGGGAUACUGUCAGGCUUGGGACCGGAAGAGGUAAGGGGUACUCCAGGGGUAGGAGUGAAAUCUUGUAAUCCCUGGGGGACCAUCUGUGGCGAAGGCGCCUUACCAGAACGGGUCCGACGGUGAGGGACGAAAGCUAGGGGAGCAAACCGGAUUAGAUACCCGGGUAGUCCUAGCUGUAAACGAUGCUCGCUAGGUGUCAGACACGGUGCGACCGUGUUUGGUGCCGCAGGGAAGCCGUUAAGCGAGCCACCUGGGAAGUACGGUCGCAAGGCUGAAACUUAAAGGAAUUGGCGGGGGAGCACUACAACGGGUGGAGCCUGCGGUUUAAUUGGAUUCAACGCCGGG